CAGACCGGUCUCAAGAUGGCCGCCGCAGCAGCCGAGCGGAGCCUGAGCGCAGGCUGAGGGGAAGCCGGCGACGGCACUCCCAUGUCCUUGCAGCAUCGUCUGAUCGCUUCGUUUACUGCGAGCCGAGGUGCCCUCUAUCCUCCCGUCUCUCCGAACGGCGGCCGCCGAGCAGCAGCUAUGCUGCGCCCUUUGCACCAGUAGGAAGCCCCCCCUCCCGACAUGGAACCGUCCGAGCUGCAGAGGGAAGAUGAUGCUGAUGUAGCUUCUGAAGAUUCUGAACUGGAGAACUAUUCUGAUGAAUCCAGCAUUGAAGGUUUUUAUGGAACUUCACCGCCUAGUACCCAAAGGCAGAUGAAACGCAUGUCAACUAAACAUCACAGGAAUAAUUUGGGGAAAACAGUUAGUCGUUCUGGCAGUAAAGAAAAGGUAACCAUACCAAAGCAUCCAACACCGAAAGACAAGACGAUUGAAAAUGUGGCAGUAUUCACUGACAAGCAAGAAAGGAAGCUGCGGUCCAAUAUGCGAACGACAGAAAGAGACCACAAGAAAACAGUGCAAUGUGCAUUUAUGCUGGAUCCGAUUACUGGGUCCUCCACAAAGACUUCAAUUCCCAACAAGCCUUACCUCUGCCUUGGCUGCAGUAACCCCAACCCUCCUGUCUCAGUGCCCCUUAGUAGACCCACACGGCAGACUUCCAGAACGGAUUGUCCGGCUGACCGUCUGAAAUUCUUUGAAACAUUGCGAUUACUACUUAAGCUUACCUCAGUUUCUAAGCGAAAGGAGAAAGAACAGAGAGGACAGGAAAAUACCUCAUACGAAUGGGGGAGCAGAACAAAUGAACUUAUCUGGCUGGAGCUGCAAGCUUGGCAUGCAAGUCGUAGCAUAAGUGAUCAAGAUGUUUACCUGUAUACAGCACGCCAGGCGGUCCCUGACAUUAUUAAUGAUAUAUUGAACUUCAAAGUAAAUUAUGGAAGCCUCGGUCAAAGUAAAGGUGGUGGUUAUGCUAAUGCUGCUGGAGUGGAUGACAUUUUUGAACAGAAGACUGAUUGUAUUCGGACUUCAGGAAUGCACUUCUUUGGUCAGAGUAAUUAUCAGGAGCAUCUUCAGUGUCAGAGGAUAGCAUGUGAGCAGGUGAAAAGUAUUAUGGAGCUGCUAGAGUCUGUGGAAGCACUUUACCCAUCAUUGCAGGCCCUCCAAAAGGACUAUGAGAGGUAUGCUGCAAAAGACUUUCAGAGCAGAGUGCAGGCACUGUGCUUAUGGUUAAAUAUAACUAAGGAUCUGAACCAGAAAUUGAACUUGAUGAGAACUGUAUUGGGCAUUGAGAAAUUGCCAAACAUUGGCUGGCCAGUGUUUGAAAUCCCAUCUCCUCGUCCUUCUGGAGCAAAUGACACAGACGAGGAAGGAGGUGAUGGCAAGAAUUGCUUACAGCCUUGCCCAUUGGAUAAUGAGCAGAGAGGUCAUGAAGAUGAAGUUACUGGGUCAGAAAAUGACAGGGAGCAUAGUUCUCAUAGGCAUAAAGAAGGGGUACAUGUUCACUUUCAUCCUUUGGAUAUUUUCCCAAAGAGGUUUGAGAGGUCUGUAUCUGAAGACGAAACGUCCUUAAUGGGAAAUCUGUCCUCUGAUUGCCCACCUGAUGCUGGUUUCAACAGGAAUUGUCAGAUGUCUAUUUAUAGACCUUUUGUUGAUAAAGCACUGAAACAAAUGGGACUACGGAAGCUAAUAAUGAGGCUUCACAAGUUAAUGGAUGGAUCUCUGCAAAGGGCACGAGUAGCACUGGAAAAAGAUGUUAGUACACUGGAGUUCUUUGCUGUUCCAGAGCCCUUAAGCUGUCAUGAUUACCUGCCCGAAUUAUCUCACACAUCGUCCUGCACAGAACAAAAGAAUAGCAGGGUGUCGUGGGACCAGUUGGAGGCCAUGGAACUCCCAUCGUUCCAGCCUGCCUACUUGGUCUUGUGUCGAGUGCUCCUCAACGUAAUUCAUGAAUGCUUGAAACUAAGGCUGGAGCAGAGACCUGCAGGGGAGCCAUCACUGCUGAGUAUAAAACAGCUGGUCAGAGAAUGCAAAGAAGUGCUGAAGGGUGGCCUACUCAUGAAACAGUAUUAUCAGUUCAUGUUGCAUGGGAUAAUGGAUGAAUUCCAGAGACAACAGAAGGUUGACAGUAAUAUUGAUGGAUUUGAGGAAGAUUUGCAUAAAAUGUUGAUGGUUUAUUUUGAUUACAUGCGGAGCUGGAUUCAGAUGCUACAGCAUUUACCUCAAGCCUCCCACAGUCUGAAGAAUCUUCUAGAAAUAGAAUGGAAUUUUACCAAAGAAAUAACCCCUUGUAUACGAGGAGGAGAAGCUCAAGCAGGAAAGCUCUUUUGUGACAUUGCUGGAAUGCUGCUGAAGUCAACGGGAGAGUUCUUAGAUUCUGGUCUCCAGCAAAGUUGUGAUGAAUUCUGGGCAAGUGCUGAUGAUAGUACAGCAUCAGAUGAAAUCAGGAGGUCCAUCAUAGAGACCAGUCGUGCACUUAAGGAGCUCUUCCAUGAAGCUCGGGAGAGAGCGUCCAAGGCUUUGGGUUUUGCUAAGAUGCUGAGAAAGGACCUAGAAAUAGCAGCUGAAUUUACUUUGUCGGCUCCUGUUCUGGUUUUUUUAGAAGCUCUUAAGAUGAAAAAAUAUGUUAAGGUUCUCAUUCCAGGACUGGAGGACCUGCAUAUUUUUGUUGCUUAUGAUCUCGCAGAGCGGAAGUCUCAGAUACUCCAACUGCUCAGUGCAACAGCUGGCAAGGAAUGUUCAAACGAAUCCGAUGAAUCAGUGGAUGAAGCGUACCUGCUCCUCAUCAAAGAUGAUCUGGACAACAAAGAGCAGGAAGAUGCCUGGAAAUUGUGGGCGGGCCAGUCCAUCAAAGUGCUGCCCCAGGUAGAAACUGUGGAUACAUUGAGAAGCAUGCAGAUUCAGAAUUUAUUGCUGGUUGUGAUGCAAUCUUCUCAUCUUGUAAAUCAACGCAAGACCUUUCAACAGUCCAUAGAAAAUCUAAUCUCACUGCACUGUGAACAAACGUCCAGCCAACCAGUCAUAGCCAAAGCUCUGGAGCAGCUGAAGCAUGCAGCAUUACUGCUAUGCAAUAGGAUUAGCAAUGCGAUUGACAGGAUUGACAAGAUGUUUAAUUCUGAGUUUGAGGCUGAAAUGGACGAAUCUGAAUGUGCAACUUUACAGCAAUACUACAGAGAAACUAUGAUUCAAAGCUAUAACUUUGGGUUUGAGUAUCACAAGGAGGUUGUGCGGCUGAUGUCUGGAGAAUUCAGGCAGAAGAUUGGAGACAAAUUUAUCAGCUUUGCUAGAAAAUGGAUGACCUUUGUGCUCACAAAAUGUGAAAGUGGGAGGGGAACAAGACCCAGAUGGGCAACGCAGGGAUUUGACUUCCUUCAGGCAAUUGAACCAGGAUUUAUCUCGGCUCUUCCAGAAGAUGACUUUUUGAGUUUUCAGUCUCUAAUGAAUGAGUGCAUCGGUCAUGUUAUAGGAAAGCCUCACAGCCCUGUAACAGGAAUUCAUCGAAAUAGCCCUCGUCCUAUUAAAGUACCCCGAUGUCACAGUGACCCACCCAAUCCACACCUCAUCAUCCCUACAUCCGAAGGGUUCAGUCCAAAGAGCCUUGGGUCUGAAGUGCGGAAUCUCUGCGUUGCCGGUAUGGUCCGCUCUCUUCCGGUAGUUGGGAGUGAUUUAAAUCACACCAAAUGUGCAGGCCCAGCAAAUGAAAUAAGGUGCUCGAGUGUCCCUGAAAAUGACCGUUUAGCGUCCAUAGCAGCUGAGCUUCAGUUCAAGUCACUGAGCCGACAUUCCAGUCCCACAGAAGAUCGUGAAGAGCCAACAUACCCUAAAGGAGAUCCAGGUGUGAGUGUGCGAAGAAGCUGGGAGCUUCGAUCUCUUUUAAGUCAGUCAAAAGACAUUACUGCCAAGCAGAGUCGAAUUGACAUUGUACGCAAGUCAAUUAAGUCCUUUGAAGAGCAGCAGGACUGCCAAAUGAAGCAAAAAAAUAUCAUCGGUCAGAUCUGUGACAUUCCUAAAUCUUAUGACAAUGUCAUGCAAGUUGGUUUAAGAAAAGUGACAUUUAAAUGGCAAAGAGGAAAUAAAAUAGGUGAAGGACAGUAUGGGAAAGUGUACACAUGUAUAAAUGUAGAUACUGGAGAAUUAAUGGCAAUGAAGGAAAUCAGAUUCCAGCCAAAUGAUCACAAAACAAUCAAGGAGACUGCAGAUGAAUUGAAAAUUUUUGAAGGUAUCAAACACCCAAACCUGGUUAGAUAUUUUGGUGUAGAACUUCACAGAGAAGAAAUGUACAUCUUCAUGGAGUACUGCGAUGAAGGCACCUUGGAAGAGGUAGCUAGGCUUGGUCUACAGGAGCAUGUAAUUCGAUUGUAUACCAAGCAGAUCACCACAGCUAUCAAUGUGCUACAUGAACAUGGAAUCGUGCACCGGGAUAUCAAGGGUGCCAAUAUUUUCCUCACCUCAUCGGGUCUGAUCAAACUGGGAGACUUUGGUUGUUCAGUUAAACUGAAGAAUAUUGCACAGACCAUGCCUGGUGAAGUGAACAGUACCCUUGGGACUGCUGCUUAUAUGGCCCCUGAAGUUAUCACCAGAGCAAAGGGUGAAGGACAUGGACGUGCUGCAGAUGUGUGGAGUCUUGGGUGUGUCCUUGUGGAAAUGGUCACAGGCAAGAGGCCUUGGCAUGAGUAUGAGCACAACUUCCAGAUCAUGUACAAGGUGGGAAUGGGUCACAAGCCUCCCAUCCCAGAACGGUUAAGCCCAGAAGGCAAGGACUUUUUGUCCUAUUGCCUGGAAAGCGAUCCAAAGCACCGGUGGACAUCUAGCCAACUUCUGGAUCACCCUUUUGUCAAGGUUUGCUGUGAUGAAGAAUGAGGCUGCCUGAUCAAAAGCUCGAAUGGUUUCCGACACACAAGAAGCAAUCACUACUGCAAGUGCCAAGAACACUCUCUAACCGUGGGCUACACGGACAGCUGACCAGGGUCACUGUACCACUGCUUCUGUGAAGCUGACAGUCUGAAACUGCACACGUUGGGCAUUUGACUGUCUAACAAAUUAAAAUAAGCUGCAUGCUCUAUUGGAAGUGCCAUUACUACUGUACAGACUGUUGUGGUUUCUCUCCCCAUCCCCCCGAUAACCCAUCCCCUUACUAUACCUUGCUUUUGGAAAACAUAAUACCCGGCUAUAGUAUUUCAAAUUUCUAUAGGUUCCAAAGUUUUGUGUUGUCAAAUAUUCUAAUUUGUAAAAUGUUUUUAUCCUGUUUGUUGUACUACAAACCUAUUAUAUCGUGGAAGAAGAAUGCACUGACUCCCAUGAACGUUUGCAUACUCAAGUUUAUUCUGCAGCAACUGUAGACUGAUUAAUGAAAUACAAUUGUUUUCCAAUAAAUUCUUUAUUUUAGGAAUACUGGUGAAGUGAGAAUGAAUCUACAUGGUUGGGGACCUUCCUUGCAUAACAUUUUGGUGUUUUGUUUCGUGGGAGAAAAAUGCAUAUUCAAUUAGAUUUAGCCAUUGCUUUACUAUUGAAGGAAUUGUAACAGUUUGGAGUAACUGCUUGGAUUUUUUUUUACAAAUACUGUGAUGAUCACACUUCAUUAUAGGUUAAAAUUCAAUCUGUUUUGUAAUCAACUCAAUCCAUAUUUGAACAGUUAUCCUCCUACAGUUGACUGCAUUCUUUGAAGACAUAAAAUUAAGGCUUCUGGAAACAGGUAGGGAAAUUAUGGAAACUAUGAUUAAAGAAAAGGAAGUAUUGGCACUUUUGUGGAAUAUAAAAGUGGAUAAGUCACCGGGUCCUGACAGGAUAUUCCCUAGGACCUUGGGGGAAGUUAGUGUAGAAAUAGCAGGGGCUCUGACAGAAAUAUUUCAAAUGUCAUUAGAAACACGCGAUGGUGCCCGAGGAUUGGUAUAUUGCUCUCAUCUUGUUCCAUUGUUUAAAAAGGGUUGUAAGAGUAAACCUAGCAAUUAUCAGCCUGUAAGUUUGACGUCAGUGGUGGAUAAAUUAAUGGAAAGUAUUCUUAGAGAUAGUGUAUAUAUAAUUAUCUGGAUAGACAGGGUCUGAUUAGGAACAGUCAACAUGGAUUUGUGCAUAGAAGGUCAUGUUUGGCAAAUCUUACUGAAUUUUUUGAAGAGGUUACUAGGAAAGCUGACGAGGGUAAAGCGGUGGAUGUUGUCUAUAUGGACUUCAGUAAGGCCUUUGACAAGGUUCCACAUGUAAGAUUAGUUAGGAAGCUUCAAUCAUUAGGUAUUAAUAUUGAAGUAGUAAAAUGGAUUCAACAGUGGCUGGAUGGGAGACGCCAGAGAGUGGUGGUGGAUAACUGUUUGUCAGGUUGGAGGCCGGUGACUAGUGGUGUGCCUCAGGGAUCUAUACUGGGUUCAAUGUUGUUUGUCCUAUACAUAAAUGUCUGGAUGAUGGGGUGGUAAAUUGGAUUAGUAAGUAUACAGAUGAUACUAAGAUAGGUGGAGUUGUGGAUAAUGAGGUAGGCUUUCAAAGCCUGCAGAGAGAUUUAGGCCAGUUAGACGAGUGGGCUGAAAGAUGGCAAAUGGAGUUUAAUGCUGAUAAGUGUGAGGUGCUACAUUUUGGUAGGACUAAUCAAAAUAGGAUAUACAUGAUAAAUGGUAGGGCAUUGAAGAAUGCGAUAGAACAGAGGGAUCUAGGAAUAAUGGUGCAUAGUUCCCUGAAGGUGGAAUCUUAUGUGGAUAGGGUGGUGAAGAAUGCUUUUGUUAUGCUGGCCUUUAUAAAUCAGAGCAUUGAGUAUAGGAGUUGGGAUGUAAUGUUAAAAUUGUACAAGGCAUUGGCAAGGCCAAAUUUGGAGUAUUGCGUACAGUUCUGGUCACCGAAUUAUAGGAAAGAUGUCAACAACUUAGAGUACAGAGAAGAUUUACAAGAAUGUUACCUGGGUUUCAGCACCUAAGUUACAGAGAAAGGUUGAACAAGUUGGGUCUUUAUUCUUUGGAGCGUAGAAGGUUGAGGGGGGACUUGAUAGAGGUAUUUAAAAUUAUGAGAGGGAUAGAUAGAGUGAUGGUGGAUAGGCUUUUUCCAUUGAGAGUGGGGGAGAUUCAAACAGGAGGACAUGAGUUGAGAGUUAGGAGGCAAAGGUUUAGGGGGAACUUCUUUACUCAGAGUGGUAGCUGUGUGGAACGGGCUUCCAGUAGAAGUGGUAGAGGCAAGCUCGAUAUUGUCAUUGGAAGUAAAAUUGGAUAACUAUAUGGACAGGAAAGGAAUGGAGGGUUAUGGGCUGAGUGCAGGUCAGUGAGACUAGGUGAGAGUAAGCAUUCGGCACAGACUAGAAGGGCUGAGAUGGCCUGUUUCCGUGCUGUAAUUGUUAUAUGGUUAUAUGGUUUUGAACAAGUUUACUGCAUCUGGCAUGUGUUCAGCUAUUGCUGGUAAAUCCACAAGAAAAACAUUUGUUUUAAUUACUGCAUUUGAACGGUUCAAAGGCUAAAUACUUCAGAAGCCAAAAAUGACUCAUGGAUGAGACACUAGUUCCGCUACAACAGCAGGGGAAUUGCAACAAAGUUUUUCAGUUUUAUAUUGAAAUUCUUAGUUUUAGGAUAAUUCUUCUGGAAUGCAGCUACAGUUCUGCAAGGAAUACACCAUCUUCCAAAAGACCAAGGAAGCUCUGGUGCUCAUCCCUAAUUAUUUUUGAGAACACCUUGUGUCAGUGCAGCUGGAAGCAGGCAGUGAACCAGUAACUGAGAGGUCAAGUGUGUAGCUGGGUGAGGUCCUAGGUGGCGAGGAUCCAAUAUGUUUGUUUAAUUUGCAGGUUUGGAAGGGAAUCUUCAACUACAGAGCACUGAAUCAAAAGUGCAGCUGUGGGAAUGUUCUCUGGUGUCAAAUCUCCCAUCAUACUCCUGCUUUACACCUUGCCAAAGGUGGAACUGAAUGAGUUAUUUCUUCUUCCUCUGAUCUGCUUGGCUACUUAAAUUUCAGUUCAGAGAAAUAAACCAUCACAGAAGUCCCAAGAAACGAUGAGGUGGUAUAAAUAAUGCACAACUUGCCCACACUGCACCAGAAUAUGUGGAUCCCGGAUCAGCCUCUACAGCAACCUGAGGACCCGCCAAUAGACAACCCCUUGGGAGAGCAUAAUAUUUGACUCGAGCAAUCCCACUACUGCUAUUUUUAUGGUUGAACCAUGAAUAGUCCUGCAAAACCCUACAACUAAAGUAUAGAUCUUAGCUGUUAAUUGUUUGCCAAUUGCCACCAGAGGGCGCUAUUGUACAUUAAAGCCACUGCCACCCCGAACUUGAGCCAUCGCUCACUGUCAAGUUAAUGCAGUCACCUCCUACUUGAGCUCAAUUUGAUGUUUGAUAUUUCAAUUCACUAAGUUCCAAAUAUCAAAAUAUUACCUAACCUAGCUUCAAAAUGCAACAAUAUCAGAGAUAACGCUCAACUUAUGAUUCCACUUAUGGUAUUUCCUUACAGCAUUAGCUUUUCAACAGAAAAUUUGCAGUGACCUGAAACUAUGUUAAUUGGAAGCUGAGGGUAUUUGAACAGCAUUCUCAAAAUUCAUUUUGAAUGGCCCAAGAACGUUAAUAGGGAUGCUACUAAAUUAAUGCUGGUGAAAUAGGUGCCAGAUCAAAUCAUGUUUACAAUUAUUCUAAGUAGCCACAGAAAGUCCAGCAAAUGCAAUUUGAUUCUUGCUUAAAGAUUGCUUGAAAUCUUGGAUUAAUGAGAAAUAUUAUGAGUGCAGAUGCACAGUCCUCAUUGUAAAUUUCAAACAAAGUUGGCCACAAAAACCCAGUGACAUCUGCUGUCAAUUCAGAGAGGCUGCUGAGGUCCAAGAACUGUGAUGUCAGUAAGAAGGUUCAACAGCUAAAUUAUACUGAAGACUUCUCAGUAAAGCAGGAAGGAAAAUGGCAGUUUUUAUUCAUCUACUUAUUGAAGGUAUGACAGCAGCUUAUUCAGCAUAAACUUUAUAUUUUAAAAUUGUUUAUACCUUGAAAUAUUUGACAAGGAGCAGAAUUAGGCCAAUCAUCAUUUCUUAUUUACAUUAUUAUUCUAAUGUAUUAUCCUUCUCAACUCCAUUCUCCCAUAACCUUUGACUCUUUGAAAUCUUCACUUUCAAUAUACCCAAUGUCUUAGCCUCCAUAACCAUUUGUGGAAUAAAAUUCUACAGAUUCAUCACCUUCUGGCUGAAGAGAUUCCUCCAUCUCUGUUCGAAAGCGACGUUCCUCUAUUGUGAGGUGUUACCCUCUGGUCCUAGACACCCCACUAUAGGAGACAUCCUCUCCACAUCCACGCUAUCAAUGAAAUCCCUGCCCCACCCCCAUUCGUCCAGACUCCAGCAGAUACAAGCCCAGUGCCACCAAAUGCUCCUCAUACAUUAACCCUUCAUUUCCAGGAUCAUUCUCAUGAACCUUCUCUGGACACGCUCCAAUGCCAACACAUUCUUCCUGAAAUAAGAAGUCCAAAACUGCUCCAAAACUAUUUCGGGCCAGAAUAGUUCUGACCAUAAUGAUGGCAAUUAUGCCUCAAGCAACAAAGACUGUGUAGAAUUACAAAACAAACAGUUCAGGAAUAUCAGGAAUUUACUGUUUUGAUAAAAUAACUAAACAAGGCUUACGGAAAACACCAAAUUUUGGAGUUCCAUUUUAAUCCAUGCUGCUGUAGAAAUCCUCACACUCCUUUCCCAGAUGGUGAAAUAAUCAGAUUUGUCAUCAAUGCAACUAUAAUAUUCAGACCAAUAGCUUGUUUACCAUAAUCAGGCUGAGGUAAUUAACAGCUUAUUUUAAUGAACAUAAGAGCUGCUGAUAGUUACUGCUUUUUAAAUGUAAAAUUCUAGAAAUAGUCAGCAAAUGACUGGACUUGGUGCACUGAACACACUGGAGUGCCUGGAAUUGUGAUGUGAAAUGUUUCACCACCAUCAAUGUAAACUGGUCCGAUCAAUCAAUCAUGAUUUUGUUUUUAGUAGAAUCAGCUCUGU
Mobula hypostoma (lesser devil ray) is the source of this 9937-nucleotide RNA transcript. It is a transcript of the gene named mitogen-activated protein kinase kinase kinase 4, with no coding region annotated. Lineage: Eukaryota; Metazoa; Chordata; Chondrichthyes; Myliobatiformes; Myliobatidae. The record is from RefSeq and is a predicted model, not a curated record. The transcript has 28 exons.